UUGCUCACUUAGGUAGCACAUGUACUAAAAUUGGUAUAUAGAGAUUAGCAUGACCCUUGUAUAAGGAUGACAUGCAGAUUGUGAAGUGUUCUGUAUUUUA
RNAcentral lists this small nuclear RNA (100 nucleotides) under Sciurus vulgaris (Eurasian red squirrel). The record is from RNAcentral. Lineage: Eukaryota; Metazoa; Chordata; Mammalia; Rodentia; Sciuridae.